Molecule: ribosomal RNA, 1548 nt
Filed under: Triticum aestivum (bread wheat)
Lineage: Eukaryota; Viridiplantae; Streptophyta; Magnoliopsida; Poales; Poaceae
Description: partial small subunit ribosomal RNA
Source: RNAcentral
AUGUCAGUUGGUGUCAAAGCGGUGACAGACAACAGUAGCGAAACCUCCUCAUCAUCAACACACUUCAAGAGGAAGAAGGCACGCAAGACUAUUGUAGAAGGUCCUCGCCGCAUGACGCGCAACCAAAAGGAGCAUACAGAGCAAGUCCUAGCUGCAAAUGAAACUCGUUCGGUUGAGGAGCAAUUAGCCAACCUUACGGCAGCACUCCAGCAAAAGGAAGACGAGCUAGAAGCCCUUCGUAUUCAUAUGAGGAAUAACCAGAACAAAGGAAAUGAAGGGGAUAGUGGUGCAAGUUCUAGCAGCCAACAUGGAGGAGCAGGGCUUAACCUUGAGGCGAUCCAAAGGAUGAUCGCUGAGGGGGUAAAGUCCCAGUUAAUGCAAACUCAGUACUCGAUGCGGCCAGGGUAUGUUAAGCCAUACCCACCCGAUGUGGACCUAGUUCCUUUCCCAACAAAUUACAGACAACCGCAGUUUAGUAAGUUCAAUGGGAGUGGAUCUCCCCAUGAGCAUAUAGCACACUUCCUUGCUACUUGCCAACAUACAGCCAUCAAUGGAGCACUUCUCCUUAGGCAGUUUGUACAGACAUUGUCUGGGCCUGCCUUCACCUGGUACAGCAAGCUACCUCCAAGCUUUGUAAAAACGUGGGAACAAAUGCAAAACUCAUUCCUCGAGCGGUUCUAUAGCACGCAGAGGACGGUGGGCAUAACUGAGUUGACCCAAACUGAACAAGGGUUCAACGAGAAGGCGGCUGACUUCAUAAAUAGAUGGAUAAACCUAAGUCUUCACUGCCCACAGCCCAUCACCGAGCCAGAAGCAGUGUGUAUGUGCAUGAACAAUCUCCGCUUGGAAGUGGCUGUCCAGUUACAAGGGGUAAGGCCCCUCAUGUUUGAAGAGUUAGCUUCAAAAUCCACGGAUAUAGAAAAUUAUAUGCAACUUGUCGCUCGUCGAACAAAAAUGACGUUCAACAAGCCUACAGACAAAGGUGGUCAGCGUGAAAAGUUGCCGUUUCAGCCCAGAAGAGCACCUAUAGGGUACCAAGGACAGCGAGAUGCACAGGUCGGCAGGAGGCCAACUCUCAACGAGCGACAAAACAUGGAGUAUUCUUUUCCUGUAGAAGAAAUUGAUGACCUUUUCACUGGUUUAAAGGAGUUGAGUCUUAUAGAACUUCCCAAGCCCAAAAGGCCAGAAGAAGCUUCAAAAUGUAAUGACCCAAAUUUCUGUCACUACCAUCACAUUUUGGGCCAUACACUCAAAGAUUUCUUUGUUGUGAAGAAUAUCAUACAGAAAAUGAUCGAUGAGGGGACCAUUGAUACGGACCUCCUCAAAAGCUUAAAGAAAGGAAAGAAGAUGGCUACAGCAAAUGUUGCCACUCUUCAAGAUAGCUCGGCUUCCUCCCGUGCCUCGGUCAUAGGACCACGUCCCAGGGUCAGCGUCAAAGAGAGGCUCACAUUCCCUGCAGCCGUGAUGGAUGGCCCAGUGUACCAGCUUCUCAAGAGCCCCAAGACUGCAGGGAGUAGCAGCCAAAACACCGUGCACUACCCCGAGUGA